AGAGUUUGAUCAUGGCUCAGAUUGAACGCUGGCGGCAUGCCUAACACAUGCAAGUCGAACGGCAGCACAGUAUGUAGCAAUACAUAUGGGUGGCGAGUGGCGGACGGGUGCGUAAUAUGUAGGGAUCUGCCCUGAAGCGGGGGACAACCCGGGGAAACCCGGGCUAAUACCGCAUAAUACUCUACGGAGGAAAUCUGGCACGCAAGUGCUGGGGCUUUAGGAUGAACCUACAUCCGAUUAGCUAGUUGGUGAGGUAACUGCUCACCAAGGCGAUGAUCGGUAGCUGGUCUGAGAGGAUGACCAGCCACACUGGGACUGAGACACGGCCCAGACUCCUACGGGAGGCAGCAGUGGGGAAUAUUGGACAAUGGGGGAAACCCUGAUCCAGCAAUGCCGCGUGGGUGAAGAAGGCCUUCGGGUUGUAAAGCCCUUUAGGCGGGGAAGAAGUUUAUAGGGUGAUAAUCCCUAUAAGUUGACGGUACCCGCAGAAUAAGCACCGGCUAACUCUGUGCCAGCAGCCGCGGUAAUACAGAGGGUGCGAGCGUUAAUCGGAUUUACUGGGCGUAAAGGGCGCGUAGGUGGUAAGGCAAGUAAGAUGUGAAAGCCCUGGGCUUAACCUGGGAAGUGCAUCUUAAACUGCCUAACUAGAGUAUGGUAGAGGGUAGUGGAAUUUCCGGUGUAGCGGUGAAAUGCGUAGAGAUCGGAAGGAACGCCAGUGGUGAAGACGACUACCUGGACCAAUACUGACACUGAGGCGCGAAAGCGUGGGGAUCAAACAGGAUUAGAUACCCUAGUAGUCC
This 800-nucleotide ribosomal RNA is filed under the name uncultured bacterium. RNAcentral describes it as "bacterial SSU rRNA". It matches the Rfam family "Bacterial small subunit ribosomal RNA", at positions 8 to 796 of the family's 1533-position model. The record is from RNAcentral.